This 253-nucleotide ribosomal RNA is filed under the name uncultured bacterium. RNAcentral describes it as "partial 16S ribosomal RNA". It matches the Rfam family "Bacterial small subunit ribosomal RNA", at positions 524 to 776 of the family's 1533-position model. The record is from RNAcentral.
UACGGGGGGGGCAAGCGUUGUUCGGAAUUACUGGGCGUAAAGGGCUCGUAGGCGGCCAACUAAGUCAGACGUGAAAUCCCCAGGCUUAACCUGGGAACUGCGUCUGAUACUGGAUGGCUUGAAUUCGGGAGAGGGAUGCAGAAUUCCAGGUGUAGCGGUGAAAUGCGUAGAUAUCAGGAAGAACACCCGUGGCGAAGGCGGCUCUCUGGGACGGUACUGACGCUGAGACGCGAAAGCGUGGGGAGCGAACAGG